UACGGGGGGGGCAAGCGUUGUUCGGAAUUACUGGGCGUAAAGGGCGCGUAGGCGGCCAUCUAAGUCAGACGUGAAAUCCCUCGGCUCAACCGAGGAACUGCGUCUGAUACUGGAAGGCUUGAAUCCGGGAGAGGGAUGUGGAAUUCCAGGUGUAGCGGUGAAAUGCGUAGAUAUCUGGAGGAACACCGGUGGCGAAGGCGACAUCCUGGACCGGUAUUGACGCUGAGGCGCGAAAGCCAGGGGAGCAAAGCGGG
RNAcentral lists this ribosomal RNA (254 nucleotides) under uncultured bacterium. RNAcentral describes it as "partial 16S ribosomal RNA". It matches the Rfam family "Bacterial small subunit ribosomal RNA", at positions 524 to 777 of the family's 1533-position model. The record is from RNAcentral.